AACGCGAAGAACCUUACCCAGGCUCGAAAUGCAGGUGGCGAUAACAGAGAUGUUAUUUUCCGUAAGGACGCCUGUAUAGGUGCUGCAUGGCUGUCGUCAGCUCGUGCCGUGAGGUGUUGGGUUAAGUCCCGCAACGAGCGCAACCCUUAUCAUUAGUUGCCAACACGCAAGGUGGGGACUCUAAUGAGACUGCCUAGGUUAACUAGGAGGAAGGUGAGGAUGACGUCAAGUCCGCAUGGCCUUUAUGUCUGGGGCUACACACGUGCUACAAUGGUCGGUACAGAAGGCAGCAAGACCGUGAGGUGGAGCAAAUCCGUAAAACCGAUCUCAGUUCAGAUUGUAGUCUGCAACUCGACUACAUGAAGCUGGAAUUGCUAGUAAUGACGUGUCAGCAACAACGUCGUGAAUACGUUCCCGGGCCUUGUA
RNAcentral lists this ribosomal RNA (426 nucleotides) under uncultured Chlamydiae bacterium. RNAcentral's name for it is "bacterial SSU rRNA". It matches the Rfam family "Bacterial small subunit ribosomal RNA", at positions 958 to 1385 of the family's 1533-position model. The record is from RNAcentral. Lineage: Bacteria; Pseudomonadati; Chlamydiota; Chlamydiia.